This 497-nucleotide ribosomal RNA is filed under the name uncultured bacterium. RNAcentral describes it as "partial 16S ribosomal RNA". It matches the Rfam family "Bacterial small subunit ribosomal RNA", at positions 28 to 507 of the family's 1533-position model. The record is from RNAcentral.
GAGGAACGCUGGCGGCGUGCCUAAUACAUGCAAGUUGAGCGCUGAAGGUUGGUACUUGUACCAACUGGAUGAGCAGCGAACGGGUGAGUAACGCGUGGGGAAUCUGCCUUUGAGCGGGGGACAACAUUUGGAAACGAAUGCUAAUACCGCAUAAAAACUUUAAACACAAGUUUUAAGUUUGAAAGAUGCAAUUGCAUCACUCAAAGAUGAUCCCGCGUUGUAUUAGCUAGUUGGUGAGGUAAAGGCUCACCAAGGCGAUGAUACAUAGCCGACCUGAGAGGGUGAUCGGCCACAUUGGGACUGAGACACGGCCCAAACUCCUACGGGAGGCAGCAGUAGGGAAUCUUCGGCAAUGGACGAAAGUCUGACCGAGCAACGCCGCGUGAGUGAAGAAGGUUUUCGGAUCGUAAAACUCUGUUGGUAGAGAAGAACGUUGGUGAGAGUGGAAAGCUCAUCAAGUGACGGUAACUACCCAGAAAGGGACGGCUAACUACGUG